UUCGUAAUCUAGGUGACCCAAAUAAGACGCUGGUGUACUUAGUUUGAUUUCGACAAAAAUCAAUUUUUGGUGAAAAAAUUCGAUACGGGGGGGUAUACCCGAAAAAUGAAAAAUUCCAAACUUUGAAGGUCGAUAUCUCGGCUUCUAUGGGAGCUAUCGGGAAAAUUCCAACGGUUUUGUCUUAGUUUUGUCGUUCUGAAUCCAACGAGACCAUCCGCAAGGUCGUAGCUCUUACGAUAGCCGAGAUAUGGCAUUUUUGAUGCCCAUUUUUGGCCUCAAAAACGGACGUCGAAAACGACUUUUUCACGAUUUUCAAAGUGCUCUCAUUCCCUUAGUUCUGCUCGGAUCCUGUUAUAACCCGGUGUUUUCGUAAUCUAGGUGACCCAAAUAAGACGCUGGUAUACUUAGUUUGAUUUCGAAAAAAAUCAAUUUUUGGUGAAAAAAUUCGAUACGGGGGGGUAUACCCGAAAAACGAAAAAUCCCAAACUUUGAAGGUCGAUAUCUCGGCUUCUAUGAGAGCUAUCGGGAAAAUUCCAACGGUUUUGUCUUAGUUUUGUCGUUCUAAAUCCAACGAGACCAUCCGCAAGGUCGUAGCUCUUCUAAUAGCUGAGAUAUGGCAUUUUUGAUGCCCAUUUUUGGCCUCAAAAACGGACGUCGAAAACGACUUUUUCACGAUUUUCAAAGUGCUCUCAUUCCCUUAGUUCUGCUCGGAUCCUGUUAUAACCCGGUGUUUUCGUAAUCUAGGUGACCCAAAUAAGACGCUGGUGUACUUAGUUUGAUUUCGAAAAAAAUCAAUUUUUGGUGAAAAAAUUCGAUACGGGGGGGUAUACCCGAAAAACGAAAAAUCCCAAACUUUGAAGGUCGAUAUCUCGGCUUCUAUGAGAGCUAUCGGGAAAAUUCCAA
This is a long non-coding RNA of Anthonomus grandis grandis, 903 nucleotides long. RefSeq lists it as uncharacterized. NCBI's taxonomy places the organism in Eukaryota, Metazoa, Arthropoda, Insecta, Coleoptera, Curculionidae. The record is from RefSeq and is a predicted model, not a curated record. The transcript is spliced from 3 exons.